RNAcentral lists this ribosomal RNA (652 nucleotides) under uncultured bacterium. RNAcentral describes it as "bacterial SSU rRNA". It matches the Rfam family "Bacterial small subunit ribosomal RNA", at positions 244 to 887 of the family's 1533-position model. The record is from RNAcentral.
GCUUGUUGGUGGGGUAAUGGCUUACCAAGGCGACGAUCGGUAGCUGGUCUGAGAGGAUGAUCAGCCACACUGGGACUGAGACACGGCCCAGACUCCUACGGGAGGCAGCAGUGGGGAAUUUUGCGCAAUGCACGACAGUGUGACGCAGCAACGCCGCGUGGGGGAAGAAGGCUUUCGGGUCGUAAACCCCUUUCAGGAGGGACGAAGCUUCGGCAGCGAAUAGCUGUCCGGAGUGACGGUACUUCCAUAAGAAGCCCCGGCUAACUACGUGCCAGCAGCCGCGGUAAUACGUAGGGGGCAAGCGUUGUCCGGAAUUAUUGGGCGUAAAGGGCUCGUAGGCGGUUUGUCGCGUCGUGAGUGAAAACACGGGGCUUAACCCCGUGCCUGCUUCCGAUACGGGCAGACUAGAGGUAUGCAGGGGAGAACGGAAUUCCUGGUGUAGCGGUGAAAUGCGCAGAUAUCAGAGGAACACCGGUGGCGAAGGCGGUUCUCUGGGCAUUACCUGACGCUGAGGAGCGAAAGUGUGGGGAGCGAACAGGAUUAGAUACCCUGGUAGUCCACACCGUAAACGUUGGGCGCUAGGUGUGGGGCUCAUUCCACGAGUUCCGUGCCGCAGCUAACGCAUUAAGCGCCCCGCCUGGGGAGUACGGCC